Molecule: long non-coding RNA, 341 nt
Filed under: Solanum tuberosum (potato)
Lineage: Eukaryota; Viridiplantae; Streptophyta; Magnoliopsida; Solanales; Solanaceae
Description: long non-coding RNA (STUB_LNC003548)
Source: RNAcentral
AAGUAAAGCGAUAUUUAGUAUAAAAAUAAAAAAUAUUAAAUAAUUGAAUAGAGGAAAUAUAUUCUUAGAUUAAAAGUAAAUAGAUAGUCAAUAAUCCUCAUAAGUCAUAACAUAUAAAGUAAAAACAUAAUUAAAUCACAAAAAAUGCAGCAAUAAAAAUAUAGAAAAACACAGCAGCAACCAAAAAAAAAAAAAAACAGUAGCAGAUCAGUUGCAGCAGCCUCGCAGAGAAGAAGAAGAGAACUUACAGCAGUGGCCUGGCAGCAACCAAAAAUAGAAAAAACCAUCGCAGAGCAGUCGCAAAGAAGAAGAGAUGAAGAGAAGAAGAGAACUUACAGCAG